Thunnus maccoyii (southern bluefin tuna) is the source of this 1363-nucleotide long non-coding RNA. RefSeq lists it as uncharacterized. NCBI's taxonomy places the organism in Eukaryota, Metazoa, Chordata, Actinopteri, Scombriformes, Scombridae. The record is from RefSeq and is a predicted model, not a curated record. The transcript is spliced from 3 exons.
AAUGCAUACUCUUAAAUGUAACAUGUUCCACAUUUAUUUUCUUUAGAAUGAAGCCAAUCAUAAACAUCCGACCACAUUUUCUUGAUAAAUCUACAGCUGCAGAACAGAUGUUCAGAUGUCUCUAUAUCAGAUUCACAGAAAUCACUGUUGUUUAAAUCUGUAAGUUACAGUUAAAUUGGAGUCUCAUGUAUUCCUUGAGUCGAUAUGGAGAUACUUCUCAAUUUUAUUGAACUUGAGAUCUAUAACCUGACAUGUUCUUGUUCACCAGAUUGAAGCUGAAUAUAAUUGCAUUGACCUUUACAAGCAUUCACUGCUAGUAGGUCAAAACUGUGAGGAAAUCUUGUUCACUGUUUGACCAAACUCAGAAACAAAGUUAUUUGCUCUAAAAGUCUUCUGAUUUAUCUUCUUCUUCUUCCCGAUUCAAUGACAGGCUGCAACCAACGAAAGGCGCAUUACUGCCACCUGCUGGAGUCAUUAAUGUUUAAUGAGCACCACGAACACCCCGUUGGUUGAUGUCCACCAUCUUGUCUGCAGCUAGGUCCCUCUCUAGAUACUUGACUGGAUUAGGUGCAAGCUGCUGCAAUCAUGAGGUUUCUCUGUGGAUCAGCAGGUGGCCGGACUGACCGGGUGGCUCUAAUUGGGGGAGAGCAGCAGGAUUCCCCCUCCUGCAAAGUCAUGGCCUUCCCUGGUGGUUGGCUGCACACUAGCAUGCUAUUCAUUACCCUGAACAAACCCUGAAGAGGAGCAGGAGGCUCUCUGGCUGCUUGGCCACUGCUGAACAAAUAUCAGACCAACAAUGGAAGACGGGGAGGCAGUAGCAACAAGAGUCUGGAACCAUAAAGAAUCGACCGUGGGAUAAUGAACCUGGAUGACACACCUGCAGCUGGGGGGGCAACGCCAAGGACGUCUGACAACAUCCUCCUCUCCCACAUCUCAUUAUGACCAGCGAAUGGUCAGGGAUAGUGAUUACGGGCGGGCGUUGAAGCAGAGCAGAAGGGGGAAUUACGCGAUAGAGCUGAUUCCACCGACACCAACUCAACAGUGGUGCUGGAAGGCCAAGAGGGUGCUAAUCAAAACACUGUUAGAAGCUGGUUCACACUGCGUCUGUGACCUGUAGUUGUUAAACUGGCAAUGACGUCGUGAUAUUCAUCUAUCUUGAAUUAUAACAGCAGAUGAAGUUUGGUUCAGAAAAAACGUUACUUUCCAGCAAGAGACAUUUAAAAACAAAUAAUGUGUCUUUUGCAUUUGAAUCUAAUAAAGACAAUAAAUGUUACUGUGUCACAUUGAUUCUUUAUUGAUCCCUGCAAUACUGCUCACAGUGAAGACGGGAGCGCAGCAGUGGAGAUUCUUGCCUACUCAGGCU